Molecule: long non-coding RNA, 333 nt
Filed under: Mytilus galloprovincialis (Mediterranean mussel)
Lineage: Eukaryota; Metazoa; Mollusca; Bivalvia; Mytilida; Mytilidae
Source: RNAcentral
GUCCUAAUUAUAAAGCUUUAUUACAACUGUCACACAAACUUAACAUUAACCAAGUAAACUAAACAUUGACCAAUGAAACAUGAAAAUGAGGUUAAGGUCAGAUGAACUGUUUAAGGUAGUCAUGUACAGCAAACAAAUCUUCCAUACAACAAAUAUAGUUGACCUAUUGCUCAUAGUUUAAGAAAACACAAAACAAAAACUUAACAUUGAGCAGUGAACUGUGAAAAUGAGGUCAAGGUCAAAUAAAACCUGUGUGACUGACAUAUAGAUCAUAAAAUAUUUCCAUAUACCAAAUAUAGUUGAACAAUUGCAUAUAGUAUUAGAAAAAAAGAC